UGGGGAAUAUUGCACAAUGGGGGAAACCCUGAUGCAGCGACGCCGCGUGAACGAAGAAGGUAUUCGUAUCGUAAAGUUCUGUCCUAUGGGAAGAUAAUGACAGUACCAUAGAAGAAAGCUCCGGCUAAAUACGUGCCAGCAGCCGCGGUAAUACGUAUGGAGCGAGCGUUGUCCGGAAUUAUUGGGCGUAAAGGGUACGCAGGCGGUUUAAUAAGUCGAAUGUUAAAGAUCGGGGCUCAACCCCGCAAAGCAUUGGAAACUGAUAGACUUGAGUAGUGGAGAGGAAAGUGGAAUUGCUAGUGUAGUGGUGAAAUACGUAGAUAUUAGGAGGAGUACCAGUAGCGAAGGCGACGUUCUGGACACGAACUGACGCUGAGGUACGAAAGCGUGGGGGGCAAACAGG
This 403-nucleotide ribosomal RNA is filed under the name bacterium. RNAcentral describes it as "partial 16S ribosomal RNA". It matches the Rfam family "Bacterial small subunit ribosomal RNA", at positions 355 to 776 of the family's 1533-position model. The record is from RNAcentral.